This 84-nucleotide small RNA is filed under the name Arabidopsis thaliana (thale cress). RNAcentral describes it as "ATSL199790". The record is from RNAcentral. Lineage: Eukaryota; Viridiplantae; Streptophyta; Magnoliopsida; Brassicales; Brassicaceae.
UUCUAGAGCUAGUCUUUAGAUCAUAUGCAUGCUUACUCACUUAGACUUAACUAAUCGGAAGUCGGCUUAAGUUAAAAAUUGAAU